UGGGGAAUAUUGGACAAUGGGCGAAAGCCUGAUCCAGCCAUGCCGCGUGUGUGAAGAAGGUCUUCGGAUUGUAAAGCACUUUAAGUUGGGAGGAAGGGCAGUAAGCGAAUACCUUGCUGUUUUGACGUUACCGACAGAAUAAGCACCGGCUAACUCUGUGCCAGCAGCCGCGGUAAUACAGAGGGUGCAAGCGUUAAUCGGAAUUACUGGGCGUAAAGCGCGCGUAGGUGGUUCGUUAAGUUGAAUGUGAAAGCCCCGGGCUCAACCUGGGAACUGCAUCCAUAACUGGCGAGCUAGAGUAGGGCAGAGGGUGGUGGAAUUUCCUGUGUAGCGGUGAAAUGCGUAGAUAUAGGAAGGAACACCAGUGGCGAAGGAGACCACCUGGGCUCAUACUGACACUGAGGUGCGAAAGCGUGGGGAGCAAACAGG
This 429-nucleotide ribosomal RNA is filed under the name Pseudomonadota bacterium. RNAcentral describes it as "Proteobacteria bacterium partial 16S ribosomal RNA". It matches the Rfam family "Bacterial small subunit ribosomal RNA", at positions 355 to 776 of the family's 1533-position model. Lineage: Bacteria; Pseudomonadati; Pseudomonadota. The record is from RNAcentral.